UUCGGAUUGCAGGCUGCAACCCGCCUGUAUGAAGUUGGAAUCGCUAGUAAUCGCGGAUCAGCAUGCCGCGGUGAAUACGUUCCCGGGCCUUGUACACACCGCCCGUCACACCAUGAGAGUCGGGAACACCCGAAGUCCGUAGCCUAACCGCAAGGAGGGCGCGGCCGAAGGUGGGUUCGAUAAUUGGGGUGAAGUCGUAACAAGGUAAC
Molecule: ribosomal RNA, 209 nt
Filed under: uncultured bacterium
Lineage: Bacteria
Description: partial 16S ribosomal RNA
Rfam family: Bacterial small subunit ribosomal RNA
Source: RNAcentral